UUUCUAGAACUACAGUGAAAUAAUAAUAGUAAUUUUAAAUGUUUUUUUACCUACUAAGUGCAAAGCACAUUCUAAAUGGAGACUGACAACUUUAAGAAGAUUCCUGGAGAAUGUAUUGUAGAUGAAUAAUGAUAUUCAAAUGUACCCUAACUCUACCUCUGGUGGAAAGGAUCAUUUAGAACAAUCUACCUGGAAAGACCUGAAACCAAGUCUGGGAGUAGCUGUGCCAAAAGAUCAUGUCACCCAGAAUGGACCAGAGGCAAGAGGUUGGAGCUGGAAGCUGGGACUGGGGACCAGGACAGGGGAGCCCAGAAGAAGCCUCUCCAUCUUGGGUGCCUCUGAAGCAUGAAGCAAAGACCUUCAUUGGAACGGGUGCAAGGAGAGUUCAUCUGGAGUCACUUUGGAGCCCGGGGGCACCUGGCAACGGAGACCCAAGACGGGGCCCCAAGAGAGAAAAAGCUUAAGAGCCUAACCACAGCACUCUCCUUAUGCAUGGUGGACAGAAUAGCAGGGGACCUUGAAGACAGCUUGAUAACUGAAGAACAUCUGGAGCCACAGAGAGCGGUACCCCUCAGGAAGCAGAUCCAGCAGAGAGCAGUGUGAUCACAAAACUACAUGACAUCAGCAGUUCUGUAGCAUUGGAGACAUGGGUUACCCCUCUAUGUGUAUACCCUGGCCACAUGGUUACCCUGAGUGUACCCGUACCCAGGUAUCCUGAUCACAUAUGUUUCCCAAGUGUGAAUCCUGUGAAUCCUUCCUUUAAGUGAAUCCCAUGCAUGGCCCCUGUUCCCACUAAAGAUAUGUGUAUUUGUAAGAGAACUCUAGGUUUCUGAGGAAAAUGUUCCAUUGUUUUUAAUAUUACUAUGCUAUUUCAUAUGCCUAUUUUCCCAAUUAUAUAAAAUUUUUGUGAGAAUAAAAUAUAUACAUUUAUCGAGGAUGACUAUAUUAGGAAGAAUAGACAGGCUUUCCAAACCAAUAUUCCAUAGUAUACCACAUCCUAAUGAUCACACAGAUGAGUAAAGAUGUAGAAAACCCAAGAAUCAAUCUACUGUUAAUCAACUAAGCAAGAAAGCAGAUACCAGUUUAACACUUACUAUGUGCCAAGCACGGUGUUAGUGAGCUAGGAAAAUAAAAAUGGUCUCUGCCCUCAAGGGGCUUACAUUCUAAUGGAGAGAGACAACAUAUAAAGUGUAUAUCUGUGCAAAGUUGUUACAAGACAGGGUAGCUAGGUGGUGCAGUGGAUGGAGCACCAGCCCUUAAG
Molecule: long non-coding RNA, 1261 nt
Organism: Sarcophilus harrisii (Tasmanian devil)
Lineage: Eukaryota; Metazoa; Chordata; Mammalia; Dasyuromorphia; Dasyuridae
Exons: 3
Source: RefSeq, a predicted model, not a curated record